Molecule: long non-coding RNA, 152 nt
Organism: Syngnathus acus (greater pipefish)
Lineage: Eukaryota; Metazoa; Chordata; Actinopteri; Syngnathiformes; Syngnathidae
Exons: 3
Source: RefSeq, a predicted model, not a curated record
CUAUCUAUCUCUCCAUCUAUCUAUCAAUAAAGUAUCUAUCUAUCUAUCUAUCUAUCUAUGCUGCUCCUUUGUGAGAGCAGUGUUUCAAUUUUUAGGAAGCACUCACUGAUUUUUUACUUAUGACAUAAUAUGACAUAAUGUCACGUGACUUG